Molecule: ribosomal RNA, 1431 nt
Filed under: metagenome
Description: bacterial SSU rRNA
Rfam family: Bacterial small subunit ribosomal RNA
Source: RNAcentral
UGCCUAAUACAUGCAAGUCGAACGAGGAGUUUUUGUAGCAAUACGGAAACUUCCUAGUGGCGAAUGGAUGAGUAACGCGUUGGUGACCUGCCCCAAAGAGAGGAAUAACUCCGGGAAACUGGAGCUAAUACCUCAUGUGGUUACCAGGGUUAGAGACCUGGUAUCUGAAGGAGUAAUCCGCUUUGGGAGGGACCUGCGUCCCAUCAGCUAGUUGGUAGGGUAACGGCCUACCAAGGCUACGACGGGUAGGGGGCCUGAGAGGGUGGCCCCCCACACUGGAACUGAAACACGGUCCAGACACCUACGGGUGGCAGCAGUAGGGAAUAUUGCACAAUGGGCGAAAGCCUGAUGCAGCAACGCCGCGUGAACGAUGAAGACCUUCGGGUUGUAAAGUUCUUUUCUGAAGGACGAGGAAGGACGGUACUUCAGGAAUAAGGAUCGGCUAACUACGUGCCAGCAGCCGCGGUAAUACGUAGGAUCCGAGCGUUAUCCGAAUUUACUGGGCGUAAAGCGCGUGCAGGCGGUUUGGUAAGUUGGAUGUGAAAGCUCCCGGCUCAACUGGGAGAGGCCGUUCAAUACUGCCAGACUUGAGGACGGUAGAGGGAGGUAGAAUUCCCGGUGUAGUAGUGAAAUGCGUAGAUAUCGGGAGGAAUACCAGUGGCGAAGGCGGCCUCCUGGACCGUUCCUGACGCUCAGACGCGAAAGCUAGGGGAGCGAACGGGAUUAGAAACCCCGGUAGUCCUAGCUGUAAACGAUGCGAACUUGGUGUUGGUGGGGUAAAAUCCGCCGGUGCCGAAGCUAACGCGAUAAGUUCGCCGCCUGGGGACUACGGCCGCAAGGUUAAAACUCAAAGGAAUUGACGGGGCCCCGCACAAGCAGCGGAGCGUGUGGUUUAAUUCGUCUACGCGAAAAACCUUACCCGGGUUUGACAUAUAGGUAGUAGGGAUUCGAGAGAUGACCGACCCUUCGGGGAGCCUAUACAGGUGCUGCAUGGCUGUCGUCAGCUCGUGCCGUGAGGUGUCCGGUUAAGUCCGGUAACGAGCGCAACCCUCGCUGUAUGUUACAAGUGUCAUACAGGACUGCCGGUAUCAAGCCGGAGGAAGGCGGGGAUGACGUCAAGUCAGCAUGGCCUUUAUAUCCGGGGCUACACACACGCUACAAUGGCCAAUACAAUGGGUCGCAAAGCCGCGAGGUGGAGCCAAUCCCCAAAAUUGGUCUCAGUUCAGACUGCAGGCUGCAACCCGCCUGCACGAAGCCGGAGUUGCUAGUAAACGCGCGUCAGCAUUAGUGCGUUGAAUACGUUCCCGGGGCUUGUACACACCGCCCGUCACGUCAUGGGAGCUGGUAACACCUGAAGCCGGUAUCCUAACCCGUAAGGGAGGGAGCUGUCGAAGGUGGGACUGGUGACUGGGACGAAGUCGUAACAAGGUA